AACGAGGCCGACCUGCGGCUGAGUUACCUGCGGAGGGAUCAUUACUGAGUACCGGGUUCUUUCGGGGCCCAAUACUCCCACCCUUUGUGUAUUCAAACCGUUUUUUCUUGUUGCUUUGGCGGGGAUAACCUCUCCCUUCCUAGCCUUCGGGUUAGCUGGGUCAGGGGCCACCCGCCAGAGUAUACAACCACCAAAACUCGUUAUAACCGCGUAUUGUCUGAGAAAACAAAACAAAAAAUU
Molecule: unclassified non-coding RNA, 240 nt
Filed under: soil metagenome
Description: partial contains 5.8S ribosomal RNA, internal transcribed spacer 2, and large subunit ribosomal RNA
Source: RNAcentral